UAGGGAAUCUUCCGCAAUGGACGAAAGUCUGACGGAGCAACGCCGCGUGAGUGAUGAAGGUUUUCGGAUCGUAAAGCUCUGUUGCCAGGGAAGAACGUCCGUUAGAGUAACUGCUAACGGAGUGACGGUACCUGAGAAGAAAGCCCCGGCU
This 151-nucleotide ribosomal RNA is filed under the name Paenibacillus sp. 92c. Its description in RNAcentral is "partial 16S ribosomal RNA". It matches the Rfam family "Bacterial small subunit ribosomal RNA", at positions 355 to 498 of the family's 1533-position model. The record is from RNAcentral. Lineage: Bacteria; Bacillati; Bacillota; Bacilli; Caryophanales; Paenibacillaceae.